This 406-nucleotide ribosomal RNA is filed under the name uncultured bacterium. RNAcentral's name for it is "partial 16S ribosomal RNA". It matches the Rfam family "Bacterial small subunit ribosomal RNA", at positions 29 to 526 of the family's 1533-position model. The record is from RNAcentral.
AGUGAACGCUGGCGGUAGGCCUAACACAUGCAAGUCGAACGAGUGGCGGACGGGUGAGGAAUACAUCGGAAUCUACUCUGUCGAGGGGGAUAACGUAGGGGCACUUACACUAAUACCGCAUACGAUUGAAUGCGCCGAUGUCGGAUUAGCGAGUGGGCGGGGUAAAGGCCCACCAAGGCGACGAUCCGUAGCUGGUCUGAGAGGAUGAUCAGCCACACUGGAACUGAGACACGGUCCAGACUCCUACGGGAGGCAGCAGUGGGGAAUAUUGGACAAUGGGCGCAAGCCUGAUCCAGCCAUACCGCGUGUGUGAAGAAGGCCUUCGGGUUGUAAAGCACUUUAAUUGGGAAAGCGGUACCCAAAGAAUAAGCACCGGCUAACUUCGUGCCAGCCGCCGCGGUAAUUC